This 1681-nucleotide unclassified non-coding RNA is filed under the name uncultured fungus. Its description in RNAcentral is "sequence contains 18S rRNA gene, ITS1, 5.8S rRNA gene, ITS2, 28S rRNA gene". The stretch from base 656 to 1681 matches the Rfam family "Eukaryotic large subunit ribosomal RNA", at positions 1 to 961 of the family's 3401-position model. Lineage: Eukaryota; Fungi. The record is from RNAcentral.
GGUUGGAUCAUUAACAAAAAGCUUAGGCCUCCUGCCGCCCCAAAAGGGCUAAGGAGAAACCUAAACAUUUGUGUGCACCAUAUCUGUCUUUGGCAGUUCGAGUGUCCCGGUUGGCGUAACUGCCCCGGGUACCUACCUCUGGUAUGCCUUGGGUGUGCCUUAGGUUGGGCUGCCGCCUUUUUAACAAACAUUUUUCUUGUUUUAUUUGCCUGAUUUUUGAUUUAAUCUUGAUUGAUUGAAUUUUAAAACAACUUUUGACAACGGAUCUCUUGGCUCUCGCAACGAUGAAGAACGCAGCGAAAUGCGAUAAGUAAUGUGAAUUGCAGAAUUCAGUGAAUCAUCGAAUCUUUGAACGCACAUUGCGCUCCCUGGUAUUCCGGAGAGCAUGCCUGUUUGAGAAUCAGUAAAUUCUUCAACACCUAAAGUGGGUGCAUUAAUUUGCGCCCGCUUGAAAGUGUUGGAUGUGAGCCUUUUUGCGCAUUAGUGCAAAUGGUUUUGAAUGCAAUGUCAAAGGACCUUGGGCAGAUAUGUCUUAGGCGAAACGCAUGAAUGAGGUAACUCACAAGUACGUUUAGCAUUUGGCUUUGAAUCCCUUGUGCCUGUGACUCAACCAUUAUUAGGUCGGGUUUGCGCAUGCAAGCUUGCUCUGAACACUUGGUCUCAAAUCAGGUAGGAAAACCCGCUGAACUUAAGCAUAUCAAUAAGCGGAGGAAAAGAAACUAACAAGGAUUCCCCUAGUAACGGCGAGUGAAGCGGGAACAGCUCAAAUUUGAAAUCUCAUGGGUUUACCCGUGCGAAUUGUAGUUUAUAGAAACGUUUUCGGGGGUGGCUCUGGCAUAAGUCCCUUGGAAUAAGGCAUCAUAGAGGGUGAGAAUCCCGUAUUUGGUGAGAUGCCCGCUCCUAUGUGAUACGUUUUCUAAGAGUCGGUUUGUUUGGGAAUGCAGACCAAAAUGGGUGGUAAAUACCAUCUAAAGCUAAAUAUUGGCGAGAGACCGAUAGCGAACAAGUACCGUGAGGGAAAGAUGAAAAGAACUUUGAAAAGAGAGUUAAAAGUACGUGAAAUUGUCAAAAGGGAAACGCUUGAAACCAGUAUUGCUUUCAGGUAAUCAGCCGUUCCUUUUGGGGCGGUGCACUUGCCUGUUUGCGGGUCAACAUCAGUUUGAUUCGGGAUAAAAAGCCUUGGGAAGGUAGCCCCUCGGGGUGUUAUAGCCCAAGGUCAUGUCCUGGAUUGGACUGAGGUCUGCAGUGUUAUUUGGGUAGCCAGUCGCCUCUUGAAACCUUGUCGUAGACAGCAUGCUGACUGCGGCACGGCCUAGGGAGCACGGUUGGGAUUCCACACCAACACUUAGGAUGUUGACGAAAUGGUUUUAAACGACCCGUCUUGAAACACGGACCAAGGAGUCUAACAUAUAUGCGAGUGUUUGGGUGGCAAACCCUUACGCGUAAUGAAAGUGAACUUAGGUGGGAUCUUCGGUGCACCAUCGACCGGUCUGGAUUUUUUUGAUAGAUCUGAGUAAGAGCAUAUCUGUUGGGACCCGAAAGAUGGUGAACUAUGCCUGAAUAGGGUGAAGCCAGAGGAAACUCUGGUGGAGGCUCGUAGCGAUUCUGACGUGCAAAUCGAUCGUCAAAUUUGGGUAUAGGGGCGAAAGACUAAUCGAACCAUCUAGUAGCUGGUUCCCUC